RNAcentral lists this unclassified non-coding RNA (455 nucleotides) under Hevea brasiliensis (rubber tree). Lineage: Eukaryota; Viridiplantae; Streptophyta; Magnoliopsida; Malpighiales; Euphorbiaceae. The record is from RNAcentral.
UACAAAUCUCUACCUAUUUAGGGAUAUAAAUCCUACACAAAAUAGGAGUACAAUAUUAACAGGUUGACUUCUCAUAACACAUGUAACCAAUCAAAUCAAUUUAGAAUGAAAUUUUACUUGUGAUAAGAUUAGUUGAAAAAUAUGAGAUACCAAAUUUUCUCAUGCACAAGAAGAAUUUAAUAUUCUUGUGCUUAACAUCAAAACAAAGAAUCUUGCUUACGCUAGUAUGAACCAACAAGGACACUUGACUCAUUAUGCAAGCAUGAAUAUUCAAAUAAACCUUGAAGGGGAAAGAAGAAAAGCAAAGGAGGCAGACAAUGCUACAUCAACUUAGAUAAAGACAAAAUUACAGCAACAAACAAUUUAUUACAAACAAUUAAAAUGUUGGGUCUGAUGAGCAAAAGGGACAACCAUGCUACAAACAUUCAUUUACAACACAACCUAACAAACCAGAG